CAAAGAAGUGUCAGGCCUAAAUGUAGUGAAGUAGAUUUUGGGUUGGGAUGUUACAUGAUGUCCCUAAACGCACCACUGACAUCCACACCUUUCAGCCGACAAUUACCUGGCUAUAAGAAACAGCUGCGCUUCAAUACUGAGAGAAGGCAUUUGGCAGUCUUGGCAAUCUAAGGUGGCUGCAGCACUAGGCAGUUGAGCUCCACAUAUCUCUUAAGGAAAGCUACUCAGUUGCCCUUAGAGAGUGGUGUAUAUUAUACUGCUGCUGUCUUGUCAGAUGCCGUUUUGUUUGUUAUGCACUACUUUUAUAAAGUAUAGUGAUUUGGGAUGUGGUUUUAUGUAGAUCUUUUAUUGAUUGUUUAAUGUUUUAUCUUUUCCUUUAUUGCUUUAGUGGAGGUGUGGCCGCUUGUUUAGAGGCUAGGCACGUGAGGUGGAAUCCCCUCCCCGAUGCAUGCGAGUGUACACACCGGGCAUAGGCAGAUUGCACCAUUUAGAGUUUAGUGUGAGUGAGGUUUGCUGUGAAAUCACACGGGUGAGUAAUUGGUGGCACCCUUGGGCACUCCUCCCUGUAGGUUGCCUCCUCAAGUGGCCGGUCUCCACCAUUUUGUUUAGUUGCUUCUUUUUAAUAUAUUGUGCUUGUUUUAGGGUAGCAUUGUGGCAGGGAGUAUGUUGUUUUAAUUAUCGUUUGGUAAUAAAGGGUUUUAAUUUAUUUUACUCUCUUACCCCUGCUACCCUAGGUUCCUUUUUAAUCUUUUAGUUAUGUUUUAGUAGUUUCUCUUAAUAAACUUUGCAUUAUAAACUCCCUUUGUCUCACCUCUGCCUUUAAAUAACGAGUCUGUGGGCUUUGGUAGCCAAUACAAUCUUCUCAUUGGCUAGAGAAAUCUUUCCUGGGGUUGUAGCGCCCUCCCCCAGGUGGCGUUGUCACUACUUUAGUAACCGUCCCCGGUUUUCUCAUAUUCGCGACACCACAAUCUGGCGUUGUCGACAGAACAUUUUCAGGCAGAGAUCUGUUGCAUGUUGUUUUGUUUUUUUGGGGGUUAAAUCUGUUUGGUUAUUGUAGUGCAGCGGCAAGACAGCAGCAGUGGCAGCGUCGGGACGGACUUCUGGUUUUUAUAAAGUGAUAUUUAAAUACUCUGGUUUAUUAUGGAGGAAGAGCUCACACAGCUACGAGACUUGGUAGCUCAGCUGCAAGCAGAAAAUCGGCGGAUGCGGCAAGAGCGAGGAUCGGAGCAACCUGGCACCAGUGCUGCUGCUAUAGGUUCAUCCACCAAUGGGCAUUCUGCUGUUUCAGCUCCCGCGACUGAGAGACUGAUUUAUAUUCCUCGGGAGAGGAAGUGCCCAUGGUUUAACGGUAAGACUGGUAUAGGUAUUGCCGAAUGGGUGGAAGAGGUGCAGGCCUGUUUGAGGGUACGACAUCUUUCACCAGCCGACCAAGCCCUUUUCAUCUAUGAUCAUCUAGAAGGCGAGCCCAGAGAAGAGAUUAAAUAUCGGCUUCCAGAGGAGAAAGACGAUCCCGAAAAGAUUUUGACUAUUUUACAGGAACUGUAUGGAUGUACUAAGUCAUAUGUUUCUCUGCAGGAAGAGUUCUUUUCAAGACGACAGCAGGAGGGAGAAACAUUGCAAGAGUUUUCGCAUGCUCUUAUGUGCCUCAUGGACAGAGUUGCGAAACAGUCCCCUCAUGUUCUGCUGAACAAAGAUGUGUUGCUUAGAGACCAAUUUGUUGAAAAUGUGCUUGAUUGUUUCUUACGCAGAGAAUUAAAACAGUAUGUCCGCAGCCACCCUACUGCCACCUUGAUGGAUGUUCGUCAUGAGGCUAUAUUAUGGGAGCGUGGAGGUAUGCCAGG
Molecule: long non-coding RNA, 1841 nt
Organism: Oreochromis aureus
Lineage: Eukaryota; Metazoa; Chordata; Actinopteri; Cichliformes; Cichlidae
Source: Ensembl